CGAAGUGUAGCACAGCCUGGUUAGCGCACGUCGUUCGGGACGACGAGGUCGGAGGUUCGAAUUCUCUCACUUCGG
Molecule: transfer RNA, 75 nt
Filed under: Fidelibacterota bacterium
Lineage: Bacteria; Pseudomonadati; Fidelibacterota
Description: tRNA-Pro
Rfam family: tRNA
About the family: Transfer RNA (tRNA) molecules are approximately 80 nucleotides in length. Their secondary structure includes four short double-helical elements and three loops (D, anti-codon, and T loops).
Source: RNAcentral